CCUACGGGAGGCAGCAGUGAGGAAUAUUGGUCAAUGGACGAGAGUCUGAACCAGCCAAGUAGCGUGAAGGAUGACUGCCCUAUGGGUUGUAAACUUCUUUUAUAUGGGAAUAAAAUGUUCCACGUGUGGGAUUUUGUAUGUACCAUAUGAAUAAGGAUCGGCUAACUCCGUGCCAGCAGCCGCGGUAAUACGGAGGAUCCGGGCGUUAUCCGGAUUUAUUGGGUGUAAAGGGAGCGUAGGUGGAUUGUUAAGUCAGUUGUGAAAGUUUGCGGCUCAACCGUAAAAUUGCAGUUGAAACUGGCAGUCUUGAGUACAGUAGAGGUGGGCGGAAUUCGUGGUGUAGCGGUGAAAUGCUUAGAUAUCACGAAGAACUCCGAUUGCGAAGGCAGUUCACUGGACUGCAACUGACACUGAGGCUCGAAAGUGUGGGUAUCAAACAGGAUUAGAUACCCGUGUAGUC
This 460-nucleotide ribosomal RNA is filed under the name uncultured bacterium. Its description in RNAcentral is "partial 16S ribosomal RNA". It matches the Rfam family "Bacterial small subunit ribosomal RNA", at positions 338 to 795 of the family's 1533-position model. The record is from RNAcentral.